GGAAUAUUGGUCAAUGGACGGAAGUCUGAACCAGCCAAGUAGCGUGCAGGAUGACGGCCCUAUGGGUUGUAAACUGCUUUUGUAUGGGGAUAAAGUUAGGGACGUGUCCCUAUUUGCAGGUACCAUACGAAUAAGGACCGGCUACUUCCGUGCCAGCAGCCGCGGUAAUACGGAAGGUCCAGGCGUUAUCCGGAUUUAUUGGGUUUAAAGGGAGCGUAGGCUGGAGAUUAAGUGUGUUGUGAAAUGUAGACGCUCAACGUCUGAAUUGCAGCGCAUACUGGUUUCCUUGAGUACGCACAACGUUGGCGGAAUUCGUCGUGUAGCGGUGAAAUGCUUAGAUAUGACGAAGAACUCCGAUUGCGAAGGCAGCUGACGGGAGCACAACUGACGCUUAAGCUCGAAGGUGCGGGUAUCAAACAGGA
Molecule: unclassified non-coding RNA, 422 nt
Filed under: plant metagenome
Description: partial contains 5.8S ribosomal RNA, internal transcribed spacer 2, and large subunit ribosomal RNA
Rfam family: Bacterial small subunit ribosomal RNA
Source: RNAcentral